RNAcentral lists this ribosomal RNA (253 nucleotides) under uncultured bacterium. Its description in RNAcentral is "partial 16S ribosomal RNA". It matches the Rfam family "Bacterial small subunit ribosomal RNA", at positions 524 to 776 of the family's 1533-position model. The record is from RNAcentral.
UACGUAGGCAGCGAGCGUUGUUCGGAGUUACUGGGCGUAAAGCGUGCGUAGGCGGUUGUCUAAGUUUGGUGUGAAAUCUCCUGGCUUAACUGGGAGGGUGCGCCGAAAACUGGGUGACUGGAGUGUCGGAGAGGUAAGCGGAAUUCCUGGUGUAGCGGUGAAAUGCGUAGAGAUGCGGAGGAACACCGAUGGCGAAGGCAGCCCCCUGGGCUAGCACUGACGCUCAGGCACGAAAGCGUGGGGAGCAAACAGG